CAUUAUGUUUAAAAAAAUCCUUUGGGACCACGGUGGGAUGAGUUUUGUUCACGUGUUCAGCGUCUGAUUACCAGAUUGGAGUUGGGAAGGCGCUUCUGUUCCACCUUGGAUGUGGCUACUCUGGAAGUGGUUGGGGAGGUGGUAAGCUUGGCUCACUUGCUUUGUUAUUUGGAGGUAUAGCCACGCAGUAACCUUGUUGAAGUGGGUAGAAGCACCGAGAGGUGCUGGCUUGCUCAAAGAAAUGCAGUCUGAGGCCUUCAGAUCCAAAACCCUGUCCCACUGCACCGUUCUGCCUUCUGUGGAUAUUCUGGGAAGCAACAGGGCCCCCGCUGUUUGGAAACCUCUCACUCUGCUGUGGCUACUGUGCAUGUUUCCAGUCCUGAUGUUCUCGCAAGGUUUGUGGAAGUGGGAGAGAAAGUGUGUCAGUAAUCGCUGCUUGCUUUGAGAUUAUCUGUGUCAUGACAGGAGGGGUGGGGGGGAGGUCAGCAGAAGGAUUAAUAGAAGCUUCCCAACCUCACCCUUGUAUUUUCUUCCCUGACCUGCAUCUUGGCACGGAGAAGCAAAUAUUUUCUCCAUGUCAGGAAAGCACCUGGGCUGCUUCAAGGCACUUGGGCAACCCAUUCAACUUGGCCAAGCUGCCCGAGGAAGGCGAGGGAGCAUCUUCCUCGGACUUCAUGUUCUUUGAAGGGAAAGGGGUGAAGCUCCCCGAGAAGGUUGGGGGCCCAGCUCUGCGAUGUGUCCAGUGGCACUGAGAACUGUCUUCUUCGUCCUCGCUGUGCGGGGGUUCCUCUCAGGUGAGGAAUCGGAAGUAGAUUUGGACACCUACUGGUCUGGAACAGCCCCAAUCUGCUUAGGAGGGUGCAGAGGAAAGCACAAAGAAUUGAAGAGGAGCCAGUGUGGAAAUGGAAGCUGCUGUUGGUUGGGAUACAAAUCAUUUUGUAGAGUCAACUGUGGGCGACCAGAAGCAGAGUUCAAUUCCAUGGUCUACGGCAAUGACUGGUGGGUGGGCUCAGUGGUCCGCUACAGGUGCCGCCCUGGCUUCCUGCUGGUGGGGGACCCGGCUAGUGCUUGCCUGUCCAGUGGGCGCUGGACCCCCAAACCCACCUGCCUCCGGAUCUGCCUUCGGGGCCGGAUUGAAAUCAACGAACGGGACAUCGAUGGAAGCUGCUCCUCCACCUGUCCCCACAAGGCACACCUGGGACCCUCUGUCAACCAUGGCUGCAUCAAGAUCUCCUCCUGCACCACCAAGCAAUCUGGCUGGACCCGCUGGUUCUUCCGUUGUGACUUUUGUGAGUGCGAGUGCUACAUCCCCUGCGAAAGUGACACCCCUGACUUCUGGAAGCCCUCCUCUGCUCCCGUGUCCCUGCCUCUGGAUUUCAAAAAGAUCUGCACCCAGGCAUUGAAGCCUACUGGUAUCCUAGUCAACAGGGGCUAGAAACCUGCUUGGUUCCCCCUUCCCUCAGCUGGUGGAGGGUUGGCCUGGGACUCAGGAGGUGCAGGUUGUAUCCCCAGUUGACCAUGAAGCCAAUCACUGACUCAACCUCCCGGGACUGCUGUGAAGAUAAAAUGGAGAGGAGGGUUAUAUAAGCCACAUGGGGUUCCUUGCAGGAAGAAAGGAGGGAUAAAACUAUAGUGAAUUAAUAAAAUUUAAAACUGUCAAGUUAAGCCCCUCAAGUUAAGAAUGGCCAGUGAUUGGGGUACUGGAGGUUGCAGUCUAAAACAUCUAGAGAACAACAGGUUCUAGAUCACAGGGUUACGACGUAAGAACUGGCAUUGCAGAGGGAAUAGAUGCCUCUUCGGUAUAAGCCAAAGUUUAGGCUGGAACUUAACAGAAAAACAGGAUUGUCAGCCGAUCUACAGGAGGGGGAAAGCUUUCACUGCCUUGGUCCACCAGCGGAUGGCUUGAUAGGUUCAUCUGGAUCAUAUGUUACCUUCCCAAGGGACUAGUGAGGUCUGUUAAGCUGAAAUAAGGUGACCUUACAAAGGCUUCUCGCUAUGGGGCCUGUAAGCUGUAGGGGAUCUAAAAUAAGGACAUAAAAAGCCAGGGAUUCAAGGGGUCAGGGUGAAGGAUAAAUGGUCCUUGAGUGGAAGGGACCCAGAGAAGUGCAGUCUCCGAGUGCCGGUUUGGGGGCAUUCCAUAAAAAAAUCUGUGCCUGAGUCCAGGGUCUCUCUUGCUGUCUGGGCAAAACCAGCCCAUUGUCGACAUCGAAUGUGACCCACGUGGUUUUGAGCCUGGGCACGGUAAGCAGCUGGGCCCAGAUUCAGGAGAGACGGCAGAGCACAGCCUUGGAGGCACGCAGAGCUGGCGGGCCACACUCUUGGUAUUCCUGCUUAAGUUAGAGUAAUUCCAAAGGUGCCCCGGACUUACUGGUUGGCGUGCGCAAGCGUUGUGCAAGGGGGUGUCCUCUUUCUGGCCUCCAUGCCCUUCGAGUCAAAGUGCUCCACACCCUGAAUGCAGAUGCUAAACCCAACAUGUGCUCUUUUGCAGCUGAAAGCUAACACCAGAAGGACGGCCCACCCGUGUUGCCUCCUCUACCUGCUGUCCAGUCUUAAGCACGUGCCUGACUUCCUCUGGAUUCUCACCUGCCUCUUCUUUCUAACCCAUCUCGGGAACAGAUCUCAGAUGCUGGCAACUAGCUAGUUUCAAACGGUGCAUGAAUAAAACCUGCGUU
RNA transcript from Varanus komodoensis (Komodo dragon), 2672 nucleotides. It is a transcript of the gene named sushi, von Willebrand factor type A, EGF and pentraxin domain-containing protein 1-like, with no coding region annotated. The transcript has 6 exons. Lineage: Eukaryota; Metazoa; Chordata; Lepidosauria; Squamata; Varanidae. The record is from RefSeq and is a predicted model, not a curated record.